This 71-nucleotide transfer RNA is filed under the name Bos taurus (domestic cattle). It matches the Rfam family "tRNA". Rfam says of the family: Transfer RNA (tRNA) molecules are approximately 80 nucleotides in length. Their secondary structure includes four short double-helical elements and three loops (D, anti-codon, and T loops). Lineage: Eukaryota; Metazoa; Chordata; Mammalia; Artiodactyla; Bovidae. The record is from Rfam by way of RNAcentral. RNAcentral also lists the same sequence under 4 other names.
UCCCAGGUAGCUCAGUGGUAAAGAAUCUGCCUGCAAUGCAGAAGAUGUGGGUUCAAUCCCUGGGUCGGGAA